GAUGAACGCUGGCGGCGUGCCUAAUACAUGCAAGUCGAGCGAACAGACGAGGAGCUUGCUCCUCUGACGUUAGCGGCGGACGGGUGAGUAACACGUGGAUAACCUACCUAUAAGACCGGGAUAACUUCGGGAAACCGGAGCUAAUACCGGAUAAUAUAUUGAACCGCAUGGUUCAAUAGUGAAAGACGGUUUUGCUGUCACUUAUAGAUGGAUCCGCGCCGCAUUAGCUAGUUGGUAAGGUAACGGCUUACCAAGGCGACGAUGCGUAGCCGACCUGAGAGGGUGAUCGGCCACACUGGAACUGAGACACGGUCCAGACUCCUACGGGAGGCAGCAGUAGGGAAUCUUCCGCAAUGGGCGAAAGCCUGACGGAGCAACGCCGCGUGAGUGAUGAAGGUCUUCGGAUCGUAAAACUCUGUUAUUAGGAAAGAACAAAAGUGUGAGAAACUAUGCACGUCUUGACGGUACCUAAUCAGAAAGCCACGGCUAACUACGUG
Molecule: ribosomal RNA, 497 nt
Filed under: uncultured bacterium
Lineage: Bacteria
Description: partial 16S ribosomal RNA
Rfam family: Bacterial small subunit ribosomal RNA
Source: RNAcentral